Molecule: long non-coding RNA, 1772 nt
Organism: Odocoileus virginianus texanus
Lineage: Eukaryota; Metazoa; Chordata; Mammalia; Artiodactyla; Cervidae
Source: RefSeq, a predicted model, not a curated record
UUGGGGGCGGGGCGCGAGCGAGAGGCGGGGGAGACGCGGGUACUGCGCAAGCGCAGAGAAGGCCGCUCCCGGUAGCCGUUACUUUAACCGUCUGCGACUCAGUCUCCUGAGGCCGCGGCGGGUUCUGAUACGGCCGGUGCAUCUUCAUAAGUGCCGAGUUACCUUCACCCGCCACCUGCGCCCUGGCCAAUUCGUCCUUCCUGUGCUCGUUCGCUUAGCCGGCUUCUCGCUCAACCUGACAAGCAUUUCUGGGCAAGGUUCACAGCUAUUGGGUUUUUUUUUUUUUUCCUUCUUUGAAGUAAAACCGAAACAGACUUUGUUUUCUCGAGUGGUUUCUGUAGCGGCGCUGAGCCGGAACACCCCAGCCGCUUUCUCUCGGUGAGGGGGUGAGCUCGUAGUCAGCCCAUUUCUCACACACGGAAACUGAGGCCUGCGGAGAGGCGGCCCCAGACAGAGAUGAGGAAAGUCAGGAAGAUGCAAAUGAGGCCCAGAAAGUUUUGUGCUGAGAUUUGAAGGAGAAGGAAAAGAAGGCGAAAUGCUUACCCUUAGAGGAACAGCAGCAACAGAGAAAGUCUGAAGGAAGGGCAGGAGCCUGAAGUCCUGGUGGCCCUUAUGUUAGGGUAGGUGUGCGACUUAGUACCUGGAGAAGAAUCGGGUGGGAAUAAAGCUGUCAAACAAAUCCCCUCGACUUCUAGGGCAUUUAAUAGGACAGUCAAUAAGGACCACUAGGCAAGUGUUUGUGUUUACUGCUUCCCUGGGAACUGAGGAGGCAGCCCUGACACAAAAUAUAUAUUACUCUCUUGUAUCUUCUCCCCUUUUAUACUUUUCUAUUUUUGAUUUUAUGUUUGAAAAUUAUCAUUCUUUCACCCCCACCCUAGGACUGGAGGAUCAGUGGAUCUUUGGGGAUACCGGAUAGCUGUGGAACCCUAAGGGCCCGGUGCUAGAUGCUUGGAUAGGGUGUGAGAAAAAAUACAAAGGUUAGCUUUGGAGGAGUCCUCUCCUCUUUUUUGGCUUUUGGCAGGGUCAGUUUCUGUGGCUUCUGCGCCUCCCAGCUUCUUGGGCUAGUAGAGACUUGCCCUUGGGUUGGUGGAAUAUACACACAUUUCUUUGACACUAGAUUAAAUAAUACAGCUGGGAGGAUUUUAUGAAAUCAGAAUCCUGCACACAGGUGAAACAAACAAAGGAAGACAGUAUGAGGAACCUUUAAUUAUUAACCUGGUGUGGGUGAUUCUGAGGAAUUCAAAUUCCAGGAGAAGAGGGUUUUAUUUUAUUCGUGAACUGUUUGGGGGACCAAAUUCUGGCAGAAAUGGCACUAGCUUGUGGUCAACCAUUAGGGAUGAAUAGGAACUUGGUUAUUUAGUCCACAACUUACUUCUGAGUAUGAACACUGAACACAUAGCUCAGAGAUCUCUGGUCUGACUUGGAUAAUUCCAGUAGAGAACUCAUUACUGCACACAGCACCCUUGCUCCCUUAUUAGAGUGUUCCAACUAUAUUAACAAAAUUAAUCUUUUUGUUCCCCAGCCCUGAAACUUGGACCUCUUCUAGUAUUCUCAGUUCAUCAUCUGUCCAGUUGAGCACAUCAGCUUCACUACUCUGCCACAUCUCAGUUCCAACCCAUCAGCAUGUCCUGCUGAACUUGUCCUUUCCUGUUUUGAGGAAUGAUACUGGAAACAAGGCUGCCACCACUUCAAGACCAAAAAUCACUGCCAAGUAUGAGAGGGGUAGAGUAAUGGUAGGUGAAGAUGCUAUAAAACUUUCCUACCAUUUUGAA